GACGAACGCUGGCGGCGUGCUUAACACAUGCAAGUCGAGCGGUAAGGCCCUUUCGGGGUACGACGAGCGGCGAACGGGUGAGUAACACGUGGGUGACCUGCCCUCCAGCUCUGGGAGUAAGACCCGGGAAACCGUAGGGUCGUAAUACCGGAUAUGACUCCACGGUGCAUGUCGUGGGGUGGAAAGCCUUGUGCGGCUGAGGAUGGGCCCGCGGCCUAUCAGCUUGUUGGUGGGGUGAUGGCCACCAAGGCGACGACGGGUAGCCGGCCUGAGAGGGCGACCGGCCACACUGGGACUGAGACACGGCCCAGACUCCUACGGGAGGGCAGCAGUGGGGAAUCUUGCGCAAUGGGCGAAAGCCUGACGCAGCGACGCCGCGUGAGGGAUGACGGCCU
Molecule: ribosomal RNA, 395 nt
Filed under: uncultured bacterium
Lineage: Bacteria
Description: bacterial SSU rRNA
Rfam family: Bacterial small subunit ribosomal RNA
Source: RNAcentral